ACAGGCAGGCCUUGUUGCUAGCCCUGGGCUGCAGAAGUCUGGCCAGGGCCCAGCUUCAACUUAACUCCUUCCUGGACCAACUCACUGAUGAGCCAUUGAGCCAGUCCCACUGAGGGUCUCCAUACCCUGUAAAGGCUGUGGUGCUCGAGAUGAUGGGAAACUGAGGCCUGAGUCUCCAGACUGGUUUCCCUGGAUCUUUUCCAACAUGUGGAGCUCUGACUUCCCCAAAAAAGCAACCAGAGAUCUCACCAACCAAGAGUUUUUCAGUUCCAGCAAGAGAGAAAGCAAACUUGGAAGACCAAACCUUUGCUCUUCUGGGAAGAACAUCAGAGAAGUGAUCGCAUGCCCCUCUUAGUGCAUUAGAUCAAGAGCUACUAUCUGUCGGUACGAUUUAUUACUGGUCAUGUGAACGUUGAUCACUUGGUUCAAAGGAGGGUCAACUGGCUUUCUCCUUUGCAAGGCACUGCUUUGUAAUUAGUGUCCUGGGGGAGAUUCUGAAUACCAGGCAUAGAUGUACAUUUCUCAUCGUGCACAGUUUUUAAAACACGUUACCAAACA
Mus musculus (house mouse) is the source of this 558-nucleotide long non-coding RNA. RefSeq annotates it as predicted gene, 34488. NCBI's taxonomy places the organism in Eukaryota, Metazoa, Chordata, Mammalia, Rodentia, Muridae. The transcript has 4 exons. The record is from RefSeq and is a predicted model, not a curated record.